RNAcentral lists this ribosomal RNA (442 nucleotides) under uncultured bacterium. RNAcentral describes it as "partial 16S ribosomal RNA". It matches the Rfam family "Bacterial small subunit ribosomal RNA", at positions 338 to 795 of the family's 1533-position model. The record is from RNAcentral.
CCUACGGGAGGCUGCAGUGGGGAAUAUUGGGCAAUGGGCGCAAGCCUGACCCAGCAAUGCCGCGUGAAGGAAGAAGGCUUUCGGGUUGUAAACUUCUUUGACAGGGGAAGAGCAGAAGACGGUACCUCUUGAAUAAGCCACGGCUAACUACGUGCCAGCAGCCGCGGUAAUACGUAGGUGGCAAGCGUUGUCCGGAUUUACUGGGGGUAAAGGGCGUGCAGCCGGGAAGACAAGGCAGAUGUGAAAUCCCGCGGCUCAACCGCGGGACUGCAUUUGAAACUGUUUUUCUUGAGUACCGGAGAGGUAAUCGGAAUGCCGUGUGUAGCGGUGAAAUGCAUAGAUAUAAGGAAGAACACCAGUGGCGAAGGCGGAUGACUGGACGGCAACUGACGGUGAGGCGCGAAAGCGUGGGGAGCGAACAGGAUUAGAUACCCCAGUAGUC